AGAUUGAACUGAAGAGUUUGAUCCUGGCUCAGAUUGAACGCUGGCGGCAUGCUUUACACAUGCAAGUCGAACGGUAACAGGGUGCUUGCACCGCUGACGAGUGGCGAACGGGUGAGUAACGCAUCGGAAUGUACCGUGUAAUGGGGGAUAGCUCGGCGAAAGCCGGAUUAAUACCGCAUACGCCCUGAGGGGGAAAGUG
This 199-nucleotide ribosomal RNA is filed under the name Pseudomonas sp. MWU12-2323. Its description in RNAcentral is "partial 16S ribosomal RNA". It matches the Rfam family "Bacterial small subunit ribosomal RNA", at positions 1 to 208 of the family's 1533-position model. The record is from RNAcentral. Lineage: Bacteria; Pseudomonadati; Pseudomonadota; Gammaproteobacteria; Pseudomonadales; Pseudomonadaceae.